CACUUAUUUGCAUCCCCAUAUCAUACGACACCUUCAUCUGUAACCAACCACUUUAUUUACAUUCCAUAUCACACCCACGGUCAUAAUCGACCUUUUCUAUAGUAUUAACAUGCUAUCUGAUUUAUAACUAGGCCGAACCGGAAAAAAUUGAUACUAUUUGGUGGAACUUUAUUAUUGCGUUAUUCAAACGGUUCUCUCAAUUUUUUCUCAAAUAUAAAAAAGAAAAGUUAAAAGUAACCAUAUUUCAUAUCAAUAUCCCCAAAAAAAUCAAAACCCUAAUUUUAUCUCAUAAUCUGAACAGAAUUUCAGAUCUUCUCGUUUCCACUGCAAAAUUAUGUCUUUCUCGCGGAUAGCUCGCAGACGAGGAGUGAAUUUCCAACAUGAAUUUGAGUCCUCUAUCAACAGAAACAACAUGUACCAGCACAAAAACCCACAUUAUUGCAAUAGCAAAACGAGCUACCUUCAUGGCAUGCCUAGAAAUUAUGGGGAAUGUGUUUAUAAUGUUAGAAGUGAUGAAAAUGCUAAUCCUUUGAAGAGGAGAAAAUGUUCGAAUUCUGGGGAUAGCCAGAGAUACUACCGGCAGCCUAACAGCAAUGGUCCUUCGACAAGCAAUAGUUUAUUUAUUGCUUCUACAAGACCUGAUGUGAAUAACUCAACCGUAAUAGGUUGUAAACGUGACAGGUCACAGAUAGAUGACGAAGUAGAGUUUUUUUCUAGAGAUGAGAUCGAGAGACUGUCCCCAUCAAGAAAGGAUGGUAUCGAUCCUCUCCGAGAAACAUAUCUUCGUAAUUCUUACUGUUCAUUUCUUCAGAAUCUGGGUACACGACUUGAAUUGCCACAGACUACCAUUGGAACCGCAAUGGUUCUUUGCCACCGCUUUUUUGUUCGAAGAUCACAUGCUUGUCACGAUAGAUUUUUGAUCUCGACGGCAGUCCUUUUCCUCGCGGCGAAGUCUGAGGAGACGCCGUGCCCUUUGAACAAUGUAUUGAGGGUGUCAUAUGAAAUUUGCUACAAGCAGGGUCUUAAUUUCUUUCCUUAUCUUCUCCCUGUGGACUGGUUCGAGCAGUAUCGGGAACGUGUUAUUGAUGCCGAGAACAUAAUACUGAGAACACUGGAUUUUGAGCUUAAUGUGGAGCAUCCCUACGAUCCUCUGACAUCAGUCCUUAACAAAUUAGGACUAUCACAGACUGUUUUGAUCCAUUUGGCACUAAACUUGGUCAGUGAAGGGUAAAAUUAUUAUGGGGUGGUCAUUAAUCAAGUUGUGGCAGGCGUUUGUUCUUUUCUUUUUAUAUAUAGUGCAGCAGCUCCAUACGUCUUGAAAUUGUAGAAGAGAUACUUAGCUGGAUCUUCACAAGAAUAGCGUGCUCACCUUAUGAUAUUCUUAGCUGGCGAUUUGAUAUGAUUUUCAUGCAUGGAAAGUUUUGUUUUACGCCUGAAGUUGGAGUGCUGAUGUGUUGUGGAUAGCUUUUUCAUGAAAGUCUUUUACCAUUGUGGUCAUUGGUUACUGGAUUAACCACCGACCUAUCACCACCAGUUUAUAAUAUCUCACCCUUAGGAUUUUCUCUGACUGCUGCGGUUUUCUCUAGAAACUGCUGCGGUUUUCCGUCCCCACAAUGCCAUGAAACCUGUCCGGACCACAAAUUUUCAUAAAUGGACCAUACGAAAUAAUGAUGUCACAGACUACUAUAUUAAUUGCUUAUAAGCAGUAUUCUGUUUGAUGGCUAAAGCGAUUUUGGUCUAUAUUCUUCGGAUAUGAUGUAUUUAAAAAGGUUUCUUUACCUGGAGCUCUCAGAUAUUAUGGUGAAACAGAAUAUAGGUUGUGUGUGGACUUAUACGAGCUAUUACUAUGUAUGAGUCUUCCAUCUGACACGUACUCCAUUCAGUUUUGGGUUAGGUGUUAUUUCUCUACUUCGGUUGAUGGGCUUCCCUUUUGUUUAAGGAAUAGUCUAUUGUCUUUAGACUUACAUCAGAAUAUUAUUUUUCAAAAGUGUUCCAUAAGAGUUCACAUCUCCAAGUUCUAUUCUAAUGUUGGAGACAAGGUAAUGUUUUCUAUAUAUAUAUAUAUUUGUAUUCUUUGCAUGUAGGUAAAAUUGAACCAUAAUUUUUACCAGGUAGCAUGAUUUGCUAUUGAGAUUGUCAGCCAUUGAGCCAGUGGGAGUAGGUUAUGAUAUAUCUAGGCAGAUCUGAAAAGAAAUCAUGCAUCUAAUGACUAAGCAGGAGUAAGCUAAGAAAGUAAAGCCAAGGGUCUUAGGAGGCAUGUUUUAAAUUAGAAGUCAAGAACCGAAUAGUGCCUCUAGUGCAGCCAGAUUUCUUCGUACCAAUUGUUCUUUGUCUCUUUGGCUAUAAUACUGUUUUUAAAAUAGUCAGAAUAAAGAAGAAUAAGAAAUGGUACUUAGUUUUUGACACUUCUCAGAUGGACACAAACUCAUCCUCUUUUGUCCUUUUGUUCAUUCCCACUUUUAUCCUAUUUCCUUUUCUCUUUUCUCUUUGCCCCUUUGUUCUUUCUUUCUGCUAAUGCUUUUCAUGCUUAAAAGUUCUUUUGCAUUUCAAAGUUCCCAAUGGAUGUGUUUAUAUGCGACCCAAUUUACAGGUAUCCAUAGACGUCGCCGGUUUACCUUUAGGAAUUUAUGUAUGUCCAAUUUUCCGUUGGAUGAAAUGUUGAUCAGUUUUGUUACAGUUGCAGUUUUUGGUUUGAGAUAGCUUGCAUUCUGGAGUCAAAUAUUCGUUACAUAGUAUGAUGAAUUUACGUGCCUUUACAAACAUUGUAACAUUUAUAGCAUUUGGGUAUGCUAUGACAUGGUGCAACAUCAGUGUUUUCUACUUGAUGCUUUUAGGGCACCUCUGUCAGUUCAGUCCACAUGAUUGUUGGCCUCUAUCACCACUCAUUUUGGCACCCUGGUCAUGGGUGUAUUGCCUGUCUAUGUUGUCAAUAGUGCUUCUGCCAUGAGUGUGAAAUCGUGCUCUUUCACAUGACAUCAUUGAAAAGAAGAAACUGGCACGACCUUUGAGAAAGUUUCAAUCAUAAAAAAACAUCCGACAAAAUUAUGUAUCUGAUGAAUAAUGGGAAUGUGCCUUCCCCUGAAGGACAAUUAGGUCUUGGAGCUGAUUCGUUGUUCCAGUAGUUAUGACAAAUUUUGGUAUUGUUUCGAAACCUUGUUAGCAUUUCUGAAGAUUCUCGGGAAAAUAUUCCUUCUGAUGGCUGCUUUCAUAGUUGGCUUCGGAGCUCACUUUGGCUUCAGUUCAAACCUCAUCAUAUUGCUGCUGGUGCUGCAUAUCUUGCUGCAAAGUUCCUUAAUUUUGAUCUCGCAGCUUACCAAACAAUGUUGCAAGAGUUCCAUACAACACCUUCCAUUGUGCAAGAUGUGGUCCAACAGUUGAUGGAGCUCUUUUAGAAGAUUUAUAUAUAUAGUCUCGGGGACUCUUGUAUCCGAGGCUCGAUAUACAUACAUGUAAGAUUAUCGUGUAUUAGUUGUUAUAUUGAACCUUCCCUUUUGGAGAAUUGAUGUAUAAAGUUGCUAUAUUAUGGAACUCUUUGAAAUCAGGUCUGCAAAUAGUAUCAACUAAUACAACUUCUGCACA
Molecule: RNA transcript, 3579 nt
Organism: Papaver somniferum (opium poppy)
Lineage: Eukaryota; Viridiplantae; Streptophyta; Magnoliopsida; Ranunculales; Papaveraceae
Gene name: cyclin-T1-4-like
Exons: 9
Source: RefSeq, a predicted model, not a curated record